UCUGGAGACUGGGAUUUUGUGUUCGAUUUUUCAGAGAUCCCAGGUUUUUGGAAGUGGUUCAGGGAGAAAGACAAGAAUCCCAGGUGAUCAGCCCACUCAUCACUAUAAGUAGCAGGUGGCCAGACGUAAGGACUAUAAAUGCUGCCGUCACUCAUGGCGCCCAGGGAUUGCGUGAUGGUGGGACCCCACUGAAAAGAGCACCAUCCCUGGCUGACAACAGGCUCAACAGAUCCAUUUGCACUAAGAUGUGUUGGACUCACUCUCCAAGUUUACUAAGAAUGUGGACUUGUUGAGCAGAACUCCAGGAGCCACAUGAUGACCUGGGAAUGGACAGCAGGCACAGUGGAG
This is a long non-coding RNA of Equus quagga, 348 nucleotides long. RefSeq lists it as uncharacterized. The transcript has 3 exons. The record is from RefSeq and is a predicted model, not a curated record. NCBI's taxonomy places the organism in Eukaryota, Metazoa, Chordata, Mammalia, Perissodactyla, Equidae.